RNAcentral lists this long non-coding RNA (101 nucleotides) under Mus musculus (house mouse). RNAcentral describes it as "predicted gene, 57008". RNAcentral also lists the same sequence under 1 other name. The record is from RNAcentral. Lineage: Eukaryota; Metazoa; Chordata; Mammalia; Rodentia; Muridae.
AGGCGAGCCGUGCAGGCGGGGGUGGGGAAGCUCCCGCAGCCGGUCGCUUUUCUCCGCCGCCGCUGGUUGGAUCGUUUCAAUAAAAGUCUUUUUUUUUUUUU